Molecule: ribosomal RNA, 708 nt
Filed under: uncultured bacterium
Lineage: Bacteria
Description: bacterial SSU rRNA
Rfam family: Bacterial small subunit ribosomal RNA
Source: RNAcentral
UAGGGUUUGAUCAUGGCUCAGAACGAACGCUGGCGGCGUGCUUAAGACAUGCAAGUCGUACGGAAAGGCUCGGUAACUUCGGUUACAGAGCACUCGAGUGGCGCACGGGUGAGUAACGCGUGGGUAAUCUGCCUCUAGGUUUGGGACAACCCCGGGAAACUGGGGCUAAUACCGGAUAAGACCACAGUGCCUUCGGUCACGGUGGAAAAAGGUGGCCUCUCGUAGAAGCUACCGCCAAGAGAUGAGCCCGCGUCCCAUUAGCUUGUUGGUGAGGUAACGGCUCACCAAGGCAUCGAUGGGUAGCUGGUCUGAGAGGAUGAUCAGCCACACUGGAACUGAGACACGGUCCAGACUCCUACGGGAGGCAGCAGUCGGGAAUCUUGGGCAAUGGGCGAAAGCCUGACCCAGCAACGCCGCGUGAGGGAUGAAGGCCUUCGGGUCGUAAACCUCUGUCGGGAGGGAAGAACGGUGACGUUUCGAAUAGGCUCGUCACCUGACGGUACCUCCAAAGGAAGCACCGGCUAACUCCGUGCCAGCAGCCGCGGUAAUACGGAGGGUGCAAGCGUUGUUCGGAAUCACUGGGCGUAAAGCGCGUGUAGGCGGCUUGGCAAGUCGAAUGUGAAAUCCCGGGGCCCAACCCCGGAACUGCAUCCGAAACUGCCUCGCUAGAGUCUCGGAGAGGAAGGCAGAAUUCCCGGUGUAGGGGUG